GAUGUUUCUGGGACGUUGAGAGUUUGACUCAGAUGCUGUAUCAUUCCAUAGCCACCUGAACGGCUAGCAUAAGUCCCACAAUUGAAAAGAGGCGUCUGUUCCUGAAUGCCACAUCUGGGAGACAACUUUAUUUUGACAAGGAGACUAAUGCAGAGGAAACCUAUUUUACAAGCUGGUCUCUCAAGACACUGGGAACACAUCAUCAGCUUCACUGCUGAGGGGUUAAUCCAAGGUUGAG
Long non-coding RNA from Brassica oleracea var. oleracea, 238 nucleotides. RefSeq lists it as uncharacterized. The transcript has 3 exons. The record is from RefSeq and is a predicted model, not a curated record. Lineage: Eukaryota; Viridiplantae; Streptophyta; Magnoliopsida; Brassicales; Brassicaceae.